GAUGAACGCUGGCGGCGUGCCUAAUACAUGCAAGUCGAGCGAACAGAUGAGAAGCUUGCUUCUCUGAUGUUAGCGGCGGACGGGUGAGUAACACGUGGGUAACCUACCUAUAAGACUGGGAUAACUCCGGGAAACCGGGGCUAAUACCGGAUAAUAUUUUGAACCGCAUGGUUUAAUAGUGAAAGACGGUUUCGGCUGUCACUUAUAGAUGGACCCGCGCCGUAUUAGCUAGUUGGUAAGGUAACGGCUUACCAAGGCGACGAUACGUAGCCGACCUGAGAGGGUGAUCGGCCACACUGGAACUGAGACACGGUCCAGACUCCUACGGGAGGCAGCAGUAGGGAAUCUUCCGCAAUGGGCGAAAGCCUGACGGAGCAACGCCGCGUGAGUGAUGAAGGUCUUCGGAUCGUAAAACUCUGUUGUUAGGGAAGAACAAAUUUGUUAGUAACUGAACAAGUCUUGACGGUACCUAACCAGAAAGCCACGGCUAACUACAUGCCAGCCGCCGCCGUAA
RNAcentral lists this ribosomal RNA (514 nucleotides) under uncultured bacterium. RNAcentral describes it as "partial 16S ribosomal RNA". It matches the Rfam family "Bacterial small subunit ribosomal RNA", at positions 28 to 523 of the family's 1533-position model. The record is from RNAcentral.